Molecule: long non-coding RNA, 675 nt
Organism: Acanthochromis polyacanthus (spiny chromis)
Lineage: Eukaryota; Metazoa; Chordata; Actinopteri; Pomacentridae
Exons: 2
Source: RefSeq, a predicted model, not a curated record
CGGUAACCGGUGUUGCAACGGUAACAGGGCUCCGACUCCUGUGUCCUCUGCUGAAUGUAUUAACGAGAACAUUCACUGCAAAAUAUGAAAACCUGGGUGAAGACCAACCUGAGGGCUGAGGACUAACCUGAGGGUAUGGGGCCUAACCUGAGGGGUGAGGACCAAUCUGAGGGUAAGGGACCAAUCUGAGGGUAUGGAACCAACCUGAGGGUAGGGGACUAACCGGAGGGUAGGGGACAAACCUGAGGGUAGGGGACCAACCUGAGGGUAGGGGACCAACCUGAGGGUAGGGGACCAACCUGAGGGUAGGGGACCAACCUGAGGGUAUGGGGCCUAACCUGAGGGUAGGGGACAAACCUGAGGGUAGGGGACUAACCUAAGGGUAGGGGACCAACCUGAGGGUAGGGGACUAACCUAAGGGGCGGGAACCUCUCAGGGUUGCCAUGACGACAAACAUCAAACACAUGAGGCGUUUAUUGAUCCACAGAUGGAUGUAAAAAACCACAAACAGCAAUAAAGUACUGAAGGUGGAUGAAGAGUUCAGGUGUAAAAUAAAACACACCUGGACUGAUGGUUGCUGGUUACUACGGCAACGCUUCUGUAACUAUGUGUUCCUGUAAACAUUAAGAUGUUUAAAUAUAGUUUAUAGUAAAAUAAAAAGCUUCAAUCCUUUAA